GACGAACGCUGGCGGCGUGCCUAAUGCAUGCAAGUCGCACGGGCUGCCUUCGGGCAGCUAGUGGCGCACGGCUGAGUAACACGUUCGUAACCUACCGUCCUGUGGGGGACAACACCGCGAAAGCGGUGCUAAUCCCGCAUACGCUCCGCGGAGGAAAGCGCUUCGGCGCGCGGUCGGAGGGGCCUGCGUCCCAUCAGGUAGUUGGCGGGGUAACGGCCCACCAAGCCGACGACGGGUAGCUGGUCUGGGAGGAUGACCAGCCAGACUGGGACUGAGACACGGCCCAGACUCCUACGGGAGGCAGCAGCAAGGAAUUUUCGGCAAUGGGCGCAAGCCUGACCGAGCAACGCCGCGUGGUGGAUGACGGCCUUCGGGUGAUAAACACCUU
RNAcentral lists this ribosomal RNA (388 nucleotides) under uncultured bacterium. RNAcentral describes it as "bacterial SSU rRNA". It matches the Rfam family "Bacterial small subunit ribosomal RNA", at positions 28 to 435 of the family's 1533-position model. The record is from RNAcentral.